GGAUUAGAUACCCUGGUAGUCCAUGCUGUAAACGAUGUACACUAGGUGUUGUUAUGCUCAACCGUAACAGUGCCGUAGCUAACGCGUUAAGUGUACCGCCUGAAUAGUACGCCCGCAAGGGUGAAACUCAAAAGAAUUGACGGGGACCCGCACAAUCAGUGGAGCAUGGGGUUUAAUUCGAUGAUACGCGAAGAACCUUACCCACUCUUGACAUGUCCAUCGCGACUUUGUGAGAGCAGAGUUUUCGGUUCGGCCGGAUGGAACACAGGUGCUGCAUGGCUGUCGUCAGCUCGUGCCG
This 298-nucleotide ribosomal RNA is filed under the name uncultured bacterium. RNAcentral's name for it is "partial 16S ribosomal RNA". It matches the Rfam family "Bacterial small subunit ribosomal RNA", at positions 775 to 1067 of the family's 1533-position model. The record is from RNAcentral.